This 406-nucleotide ribosomal RNA is filed under the name uncultured bacterium. RNAcentral's name for it is "partial 16S ribosomal RNA". It matches the Rfam family "Bacterial small subunit ribosomal RNA", at positions 30 to 526 of the family's 1533-position model. The record is from RNAcentral.
AUUGAACGCUGGCGGCAGGCCUAACACAUGCAAGUCGAACGAGAGGCGGACGGGUGAGUAAUGUCUGGGAAACUGCCUGAGGGAGGGGGAUAAGUACUGGAAACGGUAGCUAAUACCGCAUACCAUAAGAUGUGCCCAGAGGGGAUUGGCUAGUUGGUGGGGUAACGCAUCACCAAGGCGACGAUCCCUAGCUGGUCUGAGAGGAUGAACAGCCCAACUGGAACUGAGACACGUCCCAGAUCCCUACGGGAGGCACAAGUGGGGAAUUUUGCACAAUGGGCGCAAGCCUGAUGCAGCCAUGCCGCGUGUAUGAAGAAGGCCUUCGGGUUGUAAAGUACUUUCAGCGGGGAGGCGUUACCCGCAGAAGAAGCACCGGCUAACUCCGUGCCAGCAGCCGCGGUAAUUC